CGUAAAGCGUACGUAGGCGGUUAAUUAAGUCAGAUGUGAAAGCUCGGGCUUAACCUGGGAACUGCAUUUGAAACUGGUUAGCUAGAGUUUAGUAGAGGGGAGUGGAAUUUCAGGUGUAGCGGUGAAAUGCGUAGAUAUCUGAAGGAACACCAGUGGCGAAGGCGACUCCCUGGACUAGAACUGACGCUGAGGUACGAAAGCGUGGGUAGCAAACAGGAUUAGAUACCCUGGUAGUCCACGCCGUAAACGAUGUCAACUAGCCGUUGGGUCAUUAAUAUGACUUAGUGGUGCAGCUAACGCAUUAAGUUGACCGCCUGGGGAGUACGGCCGCAAGGUUAAAACUCAAAUGAAUUGACGGGGGCCCGCACAAGCGGUGGAGCAUGUGGUUUAAUUCGAUGCAACGCGAAGAACCUUACCUACCCUUGACAUCCUCAGAACUUGUUAGAGAUAACUUGGUGCCUUCGGGAACUGAGUGACAGGUGCUGCAUGGCUGUCGUCAGCUCGUGUCGUGAGAUGUUGGGUUAAGUCCCGUAACGAGCGCAACCCUUAUCCUUAGUUGCCAGCACAUAAUGGUGGGAACUCUAAGGAGACUGCCGGUGAUAAACCGGAGGAAGGU
RNAcentral lists this ribosomal RNA (616 nucleotides) under uncultured Gammaproteobacteria bacterium. RNAcentral describes it as "bacterial SSU rRNA". It matches the Rfam family "Bacterial small subunit ribosomal RNA", at positions 559 to 1174 of the family's 1533-position model. Lineage: Bacteria; Pseudomonadati; Pseudomonadota; Gammaproteobacteria. The record is from RNAcentral.